GGGUUGUGAGGUUAAGCGACUAAGCGUACACGGUGGAUGCCCUGGCAGUCAGAGGCGAUGAAGGACGUGCUAAUCUGCGAUAAGCGUCGGUAAGGUGAUAUGAACCGUUAUAACCGGCGAUUUCCGAAUGGGGAAACCCAGUGUGAUUCGUCACACUAUCAUUAACUGAAUCCAUAGGUUAAUGAGGCGAACCGGGGGAACUGAAACAUCUAAGUACCCCGAGGAAAAGAAAUCAACCGAGAUUCCCCCAGUAGCGGCGAGCGAACGGGGAGCAGCCCAGAGCCUGAAUCAGUGUGUGUGUUAGUGGAAGCGUCUGGAAAGGCGCGCGAUACAGGGUGACAGCCCCGUACACAAAAAUGCACAUGCUGUGAGCUCGAUGAGUAGGGCGGGACACGUGGUAUCCUGUCUGAAUAUGGGGGGACCAUCCUCCAAGGCUAAAUACUCCUGACUGACCGAUAGUGAACCAGUACCGUGAGGGAAAGGCGAAAAGAACCCCGGCGAGGGGAGUGAAAAAGAACCUGAAACCGUGUACGUACAAGCAGUGGGAGCACGCUUAGGCGUGUGACUGCGUACCUUUUGUAUAAUGGGUCAGCGACUUAUAUUCUGUAGCAAGGUUAACCGAAUAGGGGAGCCGAAGGGAAACCGAGUCUUAACUGGGCGUUAAGUUGCAGGGUAUAGACCCGAAACCCGGUGAUCUAGCCAUGGGCAGGUUGAAGGUUGGGUAACACUAACUGGAGGACCGAACCGACUAAUGUUGAAAAAUUAGCGGAUGACUUGUGGCUGGGGGUGAAAGGCCAAUCAAACCGGGAGAUAGCUGGUUCUCCCCGAAAGCUAUUUAGGUAGCGCCUCGUGAAUUCAUCUCCGGGGGUAGAGCACUGUUUCGGCAAGGGGGUCAUCCCGACUUACCAACCCGAUGCAAACUGCGAAUACCGGAGAAUGUUAUCACGGGAGACACACGGCGGGUGCUAACGUCCGUCGUGAAGAGGGAAACAACCCAGACCGCCAGCUAAGGUCCCAAAGUCAUGGUUAAGUGGGAAACGAUGUGGGAAGGCCCAGACAGCCAGGAUGUUGGCUUAGAAGCAGCCAUCAUUUAAAGAAAGCGUAAUAGCUCACUGGUCGAGUCGGCCUGCGCGGAAGAUGUAACGGGGCUAAACCAUGCACCGAAGCUGCGGCAGCGACGCUUAUGCGUUGUUGGGUAGGGGAGCGUUCUGUAAGCCUGCGAAGGUGUGCUGUGAGGCAUGCUGGAGGUAUCAGAAGUGCGAAUGCUGACAUAAGUAACGAUAAAGCGGGUGAAAAGCCCGCUCGCCGGAAGACCAAGGGUUCCUGUCCAACGUUAAUCGGGGCAGGGUGAGUCGACCCCUAAGGCGAGGCCGAAAGGCGUAGUCGAUGGGAAACAGGUUAAUAUUCCUGUACUUGGUGUUACUGCGAAGGGGGGACGGAGAAGGCUAUGUUGGCCGGGCGACGGUUGUCCCGGUUUAAGCGUGUAGGCUGGUUUUCCAGGCAAAUCCGGAAAAUCAAGGCUGAGGCGUGAUGACGAGGCACUACGGUGCUGAAGCAACAAAUGCCCUGCUUCCAGGAAAAGCCUCUAAGCAUCAGGUAACAUCAAAUCGUACCCCAAACCGACACAGGUGGUCAGGUAGAGAAUACCAAGGCGCUUGAGAGAACUCGGGUGAAGGAACUAGGCAAAAUGGUGCCGUAACUUCGGGAGAAGGCACGCUGAUAUGUAGGUGAAGUCCCUCGCGGAUGGAGCUGAAAUCAGUCGAAGAUACCAGCUGGCUGCAACUGUUUAUUAAAAACACAGCACUGUGCAAACACGAAAGUGGACGUAUACGGUGUGACGCCUGCCCGGUGCCGGAAGGUUAAUUGAUGGGGUUAGCGCAAGCGAAGCUCUUGAUCGAAGCCCCGGUAAACGGCGGCCGUAACUAUAACGGUCCUAAGGUAGCGAAAUUCCUUGUCGGGUAAGUUCCGACCUGCACGAAUGGCGUAAUGAUGGCCAGGCUGUCUCCACCCGAGACUCAGUGAAAUUGAACUCGCUGUGAAGAUGCAGUGUACCCGCGGCAAGACGGAAAGACCCCGUGAACCUUUACUAUAGCUUGACACUGAACAUUGAGCCUUGAUGUGUAGGAUAGGUGGGAGGCUUUGAAGUGUGGACGCCAGUCUGCAUGGAGCCGACCUUGAAAUACCACCCUUUAAUGUUUGAUGUUCUAACGUUGACCCGUAAUCCGGGUUGCGGACAGUGUCUGGUGGGUAGUUUGACUGGGGCGGUCUCCUCCUAAAGAGUAACGGAGGAGCACGAAGGUUGGCUAAUCCUGGUCGGACAUCAGGAGGUUAGUGCAAUGGCAUAAGCCAGCUUGACUGCGAGCGUGACGGCGCGAGCAGGUGCGAAAGCAGGUCAUAGUGAUCCGGUGGUUCUGAAUGGAAGGGCCAUCGCUCAACGGAUAAAAGGUACUCCGGGGAUAACAGGCUGAUACCGCCCAAGAGUUCAUAUCGACGGCGGUGUUUGGCACCUCGAUGUCGGCUCAUCACAUCCUGGGGCUGAAGUAGGUCCCAAGGGUAUGGCUGUUCGCCAUUUAAAGUGGUACGCGAGCUGGGUUUAGAACGUCGUGAGACAGUUCGGUCCCUAUCUGCCGUGGGCGCUGGAGAAUUGAGGGGGGCUGCUCCUAGUACGAGAGGACCGGAGUGGACGCAUCACUGGUGUUCGGGUUGUCAUGCCAAUGGCACUGCCCGGUAGCUAAAUGCGGAAGAGAUAAGUGCUGAAAGCAUCUAAGCACGAAACUUGCCCCGAGAUGAGUUCUCCCUGACUCCUUGAGAGUCCUGAAGGAACGUUGAAGACGACGACGUUGAUAGGCCGGGUGUGUAAGCGCAGCGAUGCGUUGAGCUAACCGGUACUAAUGAACCGUGAGGCUUAACCUUACAACGCCGAAG
This 2925-nucleotide ribosomal RNA is filed under the name Escherichia coli. Its description in RNAcentral is "bacterial LSU rRNA". It matches the Rfam family "Bacterial large subunit ribosomal RNA". Lineage: Bacteria; Pseudomonadati; Pseudomonadota; Gammaproteobacteria; Enterobacterales; Enterobacteriaceae. The record is from RNAcentral.